Molecule: ribosomal RNA, 404 nt
Filed under: bacterium
Lineage: Bacteria
Description: partial 16S ribosomal RNA
Rfam family: Bacterial small subunit ribosomal RNA
Source: RNAcentral
UGGGGAAUAUUGGACAAUGGGCGAAAGCCUGAUCCAGCCAUGCCGCGUGGGUGAAGAAGGCCCUAGGGUUGUAAACCCCUUUCAGCGGGGAAGAUAAUGACGGUACCCGCAGAAGAAGCCCCGGCUAACUCCGUGCCAGCAGCCGCGGUAAUACGGAGGGGGCUAGCGUUGUUCGGAAUUACUGGGCGUAAAGCGCGCGUAGGCGGACCUGCAAGUCGGGGGUGAAAGCCCGAGGCUCAACCUCGGAACUGCCUUCGAUACUGCGGUUCUCGAGUCCGGGAGAGGUGAGUGGAAUUCCUUGUGUAGAGGUGAAAUUCGUAGCUAUUAGGAAGACCACCAGUGGCGAAGGCGGCGCACUGGCCCGGUACUGACGCUGCGGCGCGACAGCGUGGGGAGCAAACAGG